CGCGCCGCGUCCCUCGGUUCAAGAAAUCUGUGUUCGGGUCCGUUGAUUCCCCAAAAAAUUGUCCUUCAGCAUCCACGCUUAAUGCGGGGACGCUAAAAUCACUCGGCCUGAUCCGUCAACAUACGGCGGGCGACUUCUCGCCGGUGACUGACUGUGAAGAAAGCCUCGCUGCGCUGAGAUGAGCGGAGAUCGUGCGAUUCAGAAACUAUGUGGCGUUGUGGGCUUUUGUCUUGUGAUCACACCUGACCUUCAGCGGGAGCUGGAGACGUCCCCUGCUCCUUAAGUGGUAGAGACGACUUGAGCUGCAGAGAGCUUUUGCUUUUCUCACAGACUGUCUCUGCUGUCCAAGUGCUUUCCCAGAAUGCAGCGUGCUUUUUGAGAACAAUGCCGGGCUCGUUACUCCUAUCCUGUGUCCCAAAUGUUACCCAUGCCAGGCCGUCCAUCUGUCUGUCUUCUUUAACUGUGAUUGGUGUUAUUAUCUCAAAUUUGGCUCUGAAUAUCAGCAGGGCUUGUCAUCGUUGGACCUUUUGUUAACAAAGCAACGCUCCUGCCAAUCCUGGUCUGAUCUGGAGCUCAGGCUGCGUGGAGGUGAAUAGUCUACCUUUGUUGUUUCUGUACAAAGGCAUCACUCUAUCGGCACUUGAGAUCUGAGCUCUAGCAAAGGAAAGGUCAGCGCGGGGUUUACAUGACUGGUGUUUUACAGGAACGGUAACACAAGCCCUCCUUUAAAAGCUCUGGUUUUGAAACCGUUAAGAUGGGAAUGAGGUGAUUAGCGGUCAUAAUGGGUUUUGCACUCAAAGCUCUAAACCUUUUACCCCUUUUAAAAAUGUCUCGUGGAGAGUCUGAGGAGUCUUUGAGUACGAUUGAGGCGUGUGUGGACGCCGUGCUUCACAUUUGGGACCAAAUAAAAGGGGUGGAGCAAUCCAGGAAAUCAUCUAACGUUGUAACAAUAUAAGACACAAGAGAAAAAUCUCAUUUUAGGCAUAACAUGUUACCUUAUUUUCCUUAAGAAACCGAUGCAGGAUCUAAUGGAUCUUUAAGCGCUCAGCUUAUGUAAGAUGUUAUUUUUACCCAUCCACCUGAAUUACGUCUGUCAUUAAAGACUCGCCUCUCACCUCCAAGGUCGUGUGGGUUUGGAGUGCAGCAGUGAACACGAGAACACUCAGGGUAGCUCCAUGUCAUCCCCAGCUUUUGGCAAACGUCUUGGCCAAAAAGUGUUGCUCUGGAUGAAGUGGACAGAUAUGCAGGGGAUCUUUUGAACGCUGUGUCCACCUUAAAAGCCACAUUUGGUGCUGUAGAGGUAAUCAUCCCGGGUAGACCGUAUCCGGUGUUGUUUUUAAAAGAGUGCGAUCACACUGGAUGGUCCUUCUGACGAUAAAGUGGUUUUCAAUGUUUACGGAGAAAUUCAAAAUGUGUGAUCUCCGGUGUACUUUGGAAAAAGAAGAAGCUUGUCGGGUGGGAACGGAGUAAAAAAACAGACGUCUCCGAUCCCUGGACAGAAGAUAUUCAAAGAAUCUGUUGCGCAAAAGUAGACUGUUUUGUCAUUAGAGGACGUUCGCGUCCACGGCCUGAUGACGUGCUACAUUCAGAAUCAGACACAGCGCCUGUCCUCCGUCUACACUCGUUACCUCAGCUCUGUCUGCGCAGAUCAUCUACACCAACCUGGGCUUGGAUUUAGGGAUGGUGCAAUGUAUGCUGUGGGUAUCAGCACUAGGGAACUAUGGUCCUUGCGCGUCCAGACUGGGGAUCCCUUGACUUGUCCUCUUGCGCCACCAUCAUGGAACCCAACUCUUUCACACGCGUGGCAAAGGCCUCGACCACCUUGAUACUCAGACUAUCGACCCAACUAACCUCACUCCUCAUGCCAAACCCUAACUAACCCAACCACCAAAGGCUGGUGGGUCAUGCCCACCGUUGGGGGGGGGUCCGAUGAGUCGUUCUACUCGAUAAGUAGCCAUGUGCUCCAUGUUUGUUGGAGGGAAAGUGCGUAUUUUAGGAACAAUGGGUGUUUUGUUUCAGCACAACGUGCCAACCUUUUGGGUAAUGACGCGUAGCAACAACAGGAAGUUCCCCAACGGUUGACAUUUUUCUUCAUCACAAGCGGCAAAGGCAGCUAACAAAAACCCGUCUCGGAGCGUUUGUUCUACCUACCAAUGGGUACGUUUGAUCACCCAUUAAAUGGACGAAGGCAUGAAUAUCGAGAGAAGCAAAUCCUCGCGUGGCUGGGAAUUGGUUUUGUGUGGCCACUGGCCGCCGAAGGUGCUUGUUUAAACAGACCCAGACUGAAAGGCUUAACGACCACGCUGACAGCAGUCAUUCGAGAUGUCUAGAGGCUGCAGCGCUGUGGCCCCGAGAGCGAGAGAGCGGGCGGGCGAGAGUGAAAGGGGGUAGAUGUUGUGGUUUGCCGUGUCUUCAUUUACGCUCCAGAGAAAAGAGACGCACGAGAUUCGUUUUUAAAUGUGACUUAAAUAUUUGUUCUCCCACCAAACCUAAACCAACAGAAAGAAGGAUACACAGUGGACGCCCGCUGUGUUUUUCCCGCCACCUCAAACGUGUUCUGCCGUUUGCUCCAAUGUCAUCUCAAUUAAACAUAAGCACGAGGACGGAGAGCAGCGCGGACUUAAAAGUAGGUUCGUGUUUUUGGAAGGUAGUGGUGAGCUUGGAUUACAUCCUAAAUAUAAUUGCACAUAUAUUUUGGACUAACUUUUGCUGAUUUGAUUGAUUCCCACAAACCCAUGAGCUAUUUUCUCGUGCCUAACAUGUGCUGACCCGCGUCGGAUGAGCAUAUGAAGAGACAGAACCAAGUAUAGCCGUCCAUUUUCCAAAAAUAAAAGACAGUGCUGCAGUCAAAGGUUUGUAUUUUCACUACAUAUACCCCAAAGGUUCUUUAGCGUAAUAAUCACUGACCUGAUCUUUAGCUAUGCUAAUCCCCAGUCUCAGUCUCAGUCUGCAGGAGUUCACCUGUACAUGAAAUGUUGUACACAUUGACAUGUGGGGUUUAAUGGCUUAUCAGAGCUUUUGUCUCAUAAUGCACCAAAAGAAGGUUUAAACUAGAGAUUACCAUAGAAGAAGGGUUCAAGAAAGGCUUUGAAGGUGCACGAUGCAAGAUGUGGAGCGUUUCUCAGCGGCUCGUAACCAACAGUGUUAGCGGCGCCAGCUGCAGGGAAAGUGCUGACCGAAGCAACAGCGCGAACCCGCGUGGAACCUGAAGGGUCGGUUCCAAAUGAUAAUGCUCCGACUGUCGUAUAUUGCUCAAGGUCAGCAGCAGGUCUGCGGAAUUUCAGAAUGAGGCACGAUGGGAAAAAGAGCUUGAACAAAUGCAACAGAGAGAAUAGAAGAAAGCCCGAAAAGCCAAAUCCUGUUUGUCAUUGAGGGCGAGUGCUCCCAAUUUUGCAGAACCGUGGCUUCGCCCUCCACAUUCCAGCAUUAAACUGUUCCUUUUGGAAAUCUUUUUUGCUUUAUCUCAAAGUUCAAUGAAGUUUUUUUUUUCCCAGACUCAGCAGCCGUCCACAGUUCGUCCCCCCCGCUUUGUGAAAAAGGGCCGUCUUAUGAGAAGUUUAAUAUGACGUCUGGCUUCACUUUUCGGCAUGUGGUUAGUGCAGAGGAAGACACGGGUUGAUGCUUUAAGCAACAAGGAUGCAGUAUCACAUGUGGGAUGCACAUGAUGGAGCAGCGGGCCGCUGCUUUAGUCCGUAUUGCGCCACCAGACAGAAACACACUCAUCUGAACGAUCCAUCUGAAAGAGCUUACUUUCGCCAGACUGCAGGAAGUGACGGGAGAAAUAAGCUGUGUCAGCAGCUCAUUGCAACACCUCUCAAGUGUCUUAAUUUUGGCGAACAUAAAGCGUGCACGAGGCCGGCCAAGGGUCAACAUUAAGAAAGUAAACGCUCCAAACCCCAGUCGCUCCGUCCUGCGUGGAGGCCCGAUUCGCUCCUUUCAGCUGUGUGACGGAGAGCCCUCGCGUCUCACUCCCACUGUCCUCCAUGGCCUCGCCGUUUGACCCGCUGCCAACUUGGACGCGCUUCCUCCCAGUGAGCUUCACAUGCAGCCUUUCUGCAUAGCAACAGUUUGUGGACAGACACUCUGAGGAAUACACAUGAAAAAGAGCACAAACAGAUGGGCUGUGGAAGUGAAGUGAUUUGCAUUUUUCCAAACGAUUGAACCGCCCUUUUCUGCAUGUUGAUUCCGGAGAAUUUUAAUCAAAAAUGAAAGUUCCCGGAUCAAUGAUACUGGCACUAUGCCGUCCCCACUAGUGAGCAUCAACACGUGCAGAGCGAACAAUUGACUCUUUCACGAGGUGGCAGUUGCGAAAAUUCCAUCGAAUUGGUCCAACAAUAAAAAAUAAAAAAAACGUGCAAGUUGUCGGAUCCAGCUGAAGUGUUGCACAAAGACUGAGCCCUGAGAAGACAGGAACAAAGGAGCGGGACUGCAGAUGUCGAGGACUUGUUUGUAUUUGUCAGAAUUCAGAGGGAGAGAGCAAUAACUGAAGGCUUACGCAAGACCGGCCCUGCAGCGCCGCCUUCGUCGGCUCCUUUAUGAACUGAUCUCAGCGGACUUUCCACAGCAGGAUGUUUGAAGAGACAAGAAAAAGGAACCCUGAUUGAGACGAAAUGACCUCAGAAUCCAGAGACACUUUCUCCCCCCCGAGAGAGCUCUGAAGAAGGUUCCCACUUUGUAUAUUUGCGAGUUUCGAACUAAUGUCUUCCCUUUCUCACCUGAUCUGUGUGACGUGGAAUGUCCGACUCAGCAGUCACGGAAGUCAAGUGGGAGGAACGUUUACUCUGGCCGGUGUACAGACGCAUGGUGUCAUUCAGGCCACAUAUCAGCUUGUACUUAGAGGCAGAACCCGGACAUCAUUAGUAGAUACAUUCUGGUGUCAACUGUGUUUGGUCAUUAGUUCCACAGCCAUUCCCUCACCGGGACGACGCCGCCCUGCAGGAGGACGAUGAGGACGAUGAGACCUGCCUGUCCUUCGGCCAGUGGAAUGAGAAAACGAAGCACCUCGGUUUUUAAAAACAUUCAAUAAUGGAGUCCAGUCGUCCGUGAUCAAAAGCUCUGACGAAAAACAGAGACUUCCCUUUGGUGUUAUGAUGUGUUUCAGUGCCGUGCAAUAAGAUGAAGAAGGUUCCAACUCACGGGAUGCAUCUCCAAAAUAACCCAUCCGAGGUUGUCCACAUGCUCCUUUUCAGUGCAGCUGCCUCGUGGAUGAGCGCCUCCUGAGCGUGCAAGAGGCGCGAGCCUCACGCCGUGACGAGGGAGACCUUCCACUCUGCCGAUUCCAAUUAGAAAAGUCUGUCCUUAAAUACCCCCAAACACGUUCACUUUCUAGAUCGCUUUUAAAGUUUUUACAGCCAUUUGCAUCCCGCCGGGAAGUUUGAUAACUUUAAUAGUCUUUUUCUUUCUCCUGCCCUAAAUCUGACGUGUCUAAUAAUUUGGUUUAUGGUGCGAUACCUUUUAAAUCUUUAUAUGGUAUUCACGUCCAUACGAGGCGUAUAACUUUGAACGGUAUUGCAUCAUAAGCCAAAUUAUCAUUACCAAACAGAAUACCGUAACGCGUAGUAAGGAGGUGUUCAGUCAAUCGGUCCUUCAGACAGUUGCUCAUUUUAACCCUGAAGGUGGCCUCCCAAAGAGAAAAUGGCGCCGAACCUCGACGGCGCGUUCACCUUCGACUGCCACUGCGGGGAAAACAAACGCUUGAAAGGAGGCAGUAAAAAUAAAUUUGCAGCAUUAGUGCUUCGGGAGCCAGAACACACAAGGUUUGUUUGAACAAAAAGCCAUUAAACAAAACACGUAAAUCACCGUUGGCCUUAGGAACACAAGUUUAAUCGUUGGAGGCCUUUUCGCCUGCGGCGGACGCGUCCGUAGAAG
Long non-coding RNA from Gasterosteus aculeatus aculeatus (three-spined stickleback), 5868 nucleotides. The record is from Ensembl. NCBI's taxonomy places the organism in Eukaryota, Metazoa, Chordata, Actinopteri, Perciformes, Gasterosteidae.